AACGAACGCUGGCGGCAGGCCUAACACAUGCAAGUCGAACGCUCUCUUCGGAGAGAGUGGCAGACGGGUGAGUAACGCGUGGGAACCUACCCAGGGGUUCGGAAUAACUCAGGGAAACUUGAGCUAAUACCGGAUACGCCUUGCGAGGGAAAGAUUUAUCGCCCCUGGACGGGCCCGCGUCGGAUUAGCUUGUUGGUGGGUAACGGCCCACCAAGGCGACGAUCCGUAGCUGGUCUGAGAGGAUGAUCAGCCACACUGGGACUGAGACACGGCCCAGACUCCUACGGGAGGCAGCAGUGGGGAAUCUUGCACAAUGGGCGCAAGCCUGAUGCAGCCAUGCCGCGUGAGUGAAGAAGGCCCUAGGGUUGUAAAACUCUUUCAGCGGGGAAGAUAAUGACGGUACCCGCAGAAGAAGCCCCGGCUAACUCCGUG
This 432-nucleotide ribosomal RNA is filed under the name uncultured bacterium. Its description in RNAcentral is "bacterial SSU rRNA". It matches the Rfam family "Bacterial small subunit ribosomal RNA", at positions 29 to 507 of the family's 1533-position model. The record is from RNAcentral.